GGUUAAGUGAAUAAGGGCGCACGGUGGAUGCCUUGGCACUAGGAGCCGAUGAAGGACGGGACUAACACCGAUAUGCUUUGGGGAGCUGUAAGUAAGCUAUGAUCCAGAGAUUUCCGAAUGGGGGAACCCAAUAUCUUUUAUAGGAUAUUACUUUUCAGUGAAUACAUAGCUGAUUAGAGGUAGACGCAGAGAACUGAAACAUCUUAGUACCUGCAGGAAGAGAAAGAAAAUUCGAUUCCCUGAGUAGCGGCGAGCGAAACGGGAAGAGCCCAAACCAACAAGCUUGCUUGUUGGGGUUGUAGGACUCCAAUAUGGUAGUCUGUUAGUAUAGUUGAAGGAUUUGGAAAAUUCCGCUAAAGAGGGUGAAAGCCCCGUAGACGAAAUGCUAACAACACCUAGGAGGAUCCUGAGUACGGCGGAACACGAGAAAUUCCGUCGGAAUCCGCGGGGACCAUCCCGCAAGGCUAAAUACUCCCUAGUGACCGAUAGUGAACCAGUACCGUGAGGGAAAGGUGAAAAGCACCCCGGAAGGGGAGUGAAAUAGAUCCUGAAACCGUGUGCCUACAACAAGUCAAAGCUCGUUAAUGAGUGAUGGCGUGCCUUUUGUAGAAUGAACCGGCGAGUUACGAUUGCAUGCGAGGUUAAGUCGAAGAGACGGAGCCGCAGCGAAAGCGAGUCUGAAUAGGGCGAAUGAGUAUGUAGUCGUAGACCCGAAACCAUGUGAUCUACCCAUGUCCAGGUUGAAGGUGCGGUAAAACGCACUGGAGGACCGAACCCACGUACGUUGAAAAGUGCGGGGAUGAGGUGUGGGUAGCGGAGAAAUUCCAAACGAACUUGGAGAUAGCUGGUUCUCUCCGAAAUAGCUUUAGGGCUAGCCUCGGAAUUGAGAAUGAUGGAGGUAGAGCACUGUUUGGACUAGGGGCCCAUCUCGGGUUACCGAAUUCAGAUAAACUCCGAAUGCCAUUCAUUUAUAUCCGGGAGUCAGACUGCGAGUGAUAAGAUCCGUAGUCGAAAGGGAAACAGCCCAGACCACCAGCUAAGGUCCCAAAAUAUAUGUUAAGUGGAAAAGGAUGUGGGGUUGCACAGACAACUAGGAUGUUGGCUUAGAAGCAGCCACCAUUUAAAGAGUGCGUAAUAGCUCACUAGUCGAGUGACCCUGCGCCGAAAAUGUACCGGGGCUAAACAUAUUACCGAAGCUGUGGACUACACCAUUAGGUGUAGUGGUAGGAGAGCGUUCUAAGGGCGUUGAAGGUCGAUCGUGAGGACGGCUGGAGCGCUUAGAAGUGAGAAUGCCGGUAUGAGUAGCGAAAGACAGGUGAGAAUCCUGUCCACCGUAUGACUAAGGUUUCCUGGGGAAGGCUCGUCCGCCCA
RNAcentral lists this ribosomal RNA (1371 nucleotides) under Enterococcus faecalis. RNAcentral's name for it is "partial 23S ribosomal RNA". It matches the Rfam family "Bacterial large subunit ribosomal RNA", at positions 1 to 1376 of the family's 2925-position model. The record is from RNAcentral. Lineage: Bacteria; Bacillati; Bacillota; Bacilli; Lactobacillales; Enterococcaceae.